CAGUCGCCGCGGGAAUACGAAGGGGGCUAGCGUUGCUCGGAAUCACUGGGCGUAAAGGGUGCGUAGGCGGGUCUUUAAGUCAGGGGUGAAAUCCUGGAGCUCAACUCCAGAACUGCCUUUGAUACUGAAGAUCUUGAGUAUGGGAGAGGUGAGUGGAACUGCGAGUGUAGAGGUGAAAUUCGUAGAUAUUCGCAAGAACACCAGUGGCGAAGGCGGCUCACUGGCCCAUAACUGACGCUGAGGCACGAAAGCGUGGGGAGCAAACAGGAUUAGAUACCCGGGUAGUCCCUGUCUCUUAUAA
This 301-nucleotide ribosomal RNA is filed under the name uncultured bacterium. RNAcentral describes it as "partial 16S ribosomal RNA". It matches the Rfam family "Bacterial small subunit ribosomal RNA", at positions 509 to 809 of the family's 1533-position model. The record is from RNAcentral.